ACGGGUGAGUAAUACAUCGGAACGUGCCCAAUCGUGGGGGAUAACGCAGCGAAAGCUGUGCUAAUACCGCAUACGAUCUACGGAUGAAAGCAGGGGAUCGCAAGACCUUGCGCGAAUGGAGCGGCCGAUGGCAGAUUAGGUAGUUGGUGAGGUAAAGGCUCACCAAGCCUUCGAUCUGUAGCUGGUCUGAGAGGACGACCGGCCACACUGGGACUGAGACACGGCCCAGACUCCUACGGGAGGCAGCAGUGGGGAAUUUUGGACAAUGGGCGAAAGCCUGAUCCAGCCAUGCCGCGUGCAGGAUGAAGGCCUUCGGGUUGUAAACUGCUUUUGUACGGAACGAAACGGUCUUUUCUAAUAAAGAAGGCUAAUGACGGUACCGUAAGAAUAAGCACCGGCUAACUACGUGCCAGCAGCCGCGGUAAUACGUAGGGUGCAAGCGUUAAUCGGAAUUACUGGGCGUAAAGCGUGCGCAGGCGGUGAUGUAAGACAGUUGUGAAAUCCCCGGGCUCAACCUGGGAACUGCAUCUGUGACUGCAUCGCUGGAGUACGGCAGAGGGGGAUGGAAUUCCGCGUGUAGCAGU
RNAcentral lists this ribosomal RNA (584 nucleotides) under uncultured Variovorax sp. RNAcentral's name for it is "bacterial SSU rRNA". It matches the Rfam family "Bacterial small subunit ribosomal RNA", at positions 102 to 682 of the family's 1533-position model. Lineage: Bacteria; Pseudomonadati; Pseudomonadota; Betaproteobacteria; Burkholderiales; Comamonadaceae. The record is from RNAcentral.